UCGAGAAUUUUUCACAAUGGGCGAAAGCCUGAUGGAGCGACGCCGCGUGGGGGAUGAAUGGCUUCGGCCCGUAAACCCCUGUCAUUCGCGAGCAAACGUUAUUAUUUAAAAGAUGAUAGCCUGAUAGUAGCGAAAGAGGAAGGGACGGCUAACUCUGUGCCAGCAGCCGCGGUAAUACAGAGGUCCCAAGCGUUGUUCGGAUUUACUGGGCGUAAAGGGUGCGUAGGUGGUGGGGUAAGUCGGAUGUGAGAUCUCCGAG
RNAcentral lists this ribosomal RNA (259 nucleotides) under uncultured bacterium. Its description in RNAcentral is "partial 16S ribosomal RNA". It matches the Rfam family "Bacterial small subunit ribosomal RNA", at positions 355 to 607 of the family's 1533-position model. The record is from RNAcentral.